AAUCCAGAUAAAGCAGCUCUGAGACAGGUGGUUGCCCAGAGGAGUGGGGACAGGCUCCAGGGGGACCUGCGUGCACAGCGGCACAGAGGCCUGGUCCUGCCACUGCAUGGAGCUUCCUGAGCAGGGAGGAAUGUGAGGCUCCGGGUUUCCAGGGUCCCUCUAAACCUCAUAUCCAUCUUGGGUAGCGGAUCUCCGGUAACGAGGCACGCGCGCCUCCUGCUGGCCCCCGUGCUGACUGCACCUCGGCUGUCGGGACUUCAGCCCCUGGGGCUGGGAACCAAAUGUCCAUAAAAGGAGUAUAUAAACUGGGAGGACCCUAAGAGAUCAUCCACCCCGCCUUGCCGAUGGAGACCGGAAGCUCUGCAUGGGGCCCGGUGCUCAAACAGAGCAGGAAUUCCGGGCCCUGAAUCCAAGGCUGGGCUCCGUCAAAGCCUGGGGUGGGGAGGCCAGCUGUCAGGGAUAGUCAUGAACAGCCCGAUGGAGAGGCCUGUGUGGGAAGAGCUGAGCCUCCAGCCAACAGUCACAAGAAGUUGAAGCCUUCUGCCAAGGGCCACGUGGGCGAGCUUGAAUGUGGAUCCUCCAGCCCUGUCAAGCCUUCAGCAGACUGAAGCCCGGGUGAACAUCUUGACUUGACUUCAUGAGAGAUCCUGUCAGAAACACCGGACUAAACUGCGCCUCAAUUUCUGACCUUCAGAAACAGAGAUAAAAAACGCUGCUUUAACCACUAAA
Molecule: long non-coding RNA, 729 nt
Organism: Manis javanica (Malayan pangolin)
Lineage: Eukaryota; Metazoa; Chordata; Mammalia; Pholidota; Manidae
Source: RefSeq, a predicted model, not a curated record